RNAcentral lists this ribosomal RNA (783 nucleotides) under Salmonella enterica. RNAcentral describes it as "partial 23S ribosomal RNA". It matches the Rfam family "Bacterial large subunit ribosomal RNA", at positions 711 to 1496 of the family's 2925-position model. Lineage: Bacteria; Pseudomonadati; Pseudomonadota; Gammaproteobacteria; Enterobacterales; Enterobacteriaceae. The record is from RNAcentral. RNAcentral also lists the same sequence under 1 other name.
AGACCCGAAACCCGGUGAUCUAGCCAUGGGCAGGUUGAAGGUUGGGUAACACUAACUGGAGGACCGAACCGACUAAUGUUGAAAAAUUAGCGGAUGACCUGUGGCUGGGGGUGAAAGGCCAAUCAAACCGGGAGAUAGCUGGUUCUCCCCGAAAGCUAUUUAGGUAGCGCCUCGUGAAUUCAUCUCCGGGGGUAGAGCACUGUUUCGGCUAGGGGGCCAUCCCGGCUUACCAACCCGAUGCAAACUGCGAAUACCGGAGAAUGUUAUCACGGGAGACACACGGCGGGUGCUAACGUCCGUCGUGAAGAGGGAAACAACCCAGACCGCCAGCUAAGGUCCCAAAGUCAUGGUUAAGUGGGAAACGAUGUGGGAAGGCCCAGACAGCCAGGAUGUUGGCUUAGAAGCAGCCAUCAUUUAAAGAAAGCGUAAUAGCUCACUGGUCGAGUCGGCCUGCGCGGAAGAUGUAACGGGGCUAAACCAUGCACCGAAGCUGCGGCAGCGACACUGUGUGUUGUUGGGUAGGGGAGCGUUCUGUAAGCCUGCGAAGGUGGCCUGUGAGGGUUGCUGGAGGUAUCAGAAGUGCGAAUGCUGACAUAAGUAACGAUAAAGCGGGUGAAAAGCCCGCUCGCCGGAAGACCAAGGGUUCCUGUCCAACGUUAAUCGGGGCAGGGUGAGUCGACCCCUAAGGCGAGGCCGAAAGGCGUAGUCGAUGGGAAACGGGUUAAUAUUCCCGUACUUGGUGUUACUGCGAAGGGGGGACGGAGAAGGCUAUGUUGGCCGGGC